UACGUAGGGUGCAGGCGUUAAUCGGAAUUACUGGGCGUAAGGCGGGCGCAGGCGGUUUGCUAAGACAGGGGGGAAAUCCCCGGGCUUAACCUGGGAACUGCGCUUGUAACUGGCAAGCUAGAGUGUGGCAGAGGGGGGUGGAAUUCCACGUGUAGCAGUGAAAUGCGCAGAUAUCGGGAGGAACACCGGUGGCGAAGGCGGUUCUCUGGGCCUGUGCUGACGCUGAGGAGCGAAAGCGUGGGGAGCGAACAGG
RNAcentral lists this ribosomal RNA (253 nucleotides) under uncultured bacterium. Its description in RNAcentral is "partial 16S ribosomal RNA". It matches the Rfam family "Bacterial small subunit ribosomal RNA", at positions 524 to 776 of the family's 1533-position model. The record is from RNAcentral.